Molecule: ribosomal RNA, 588 nt
Filed under: Enterobacter sp.
Lineage: Bacteria; Pseudomonadati; Pseudomonadota; Gammaproteobacteria; Enterobacterales; Enterobacteriaceae
Description: bacterial SSU rRNA
Rfam family: Bacterial small subunit ribosomal RNA
Source: RNAcentral
AUUUGGAGGUUGCUCCCUUGAGGAGUGGCUUCCGGAGCUAACGCGUUAAGUCGACCGCCUGGGGAGUACGGCCGCAAGGUUAAAACUCAAUUGAAUUGAGGGGGGCCCGCACAAGCGGUGGAGCAUGUGGUUUAAUUCGAUGCAACGCGAAGAACCUUACCUACUCUUGACAUCCAGAGAACUUAGCAGAGAUGGUUUGGUGCUUUCGGGAACUCUGAGACAGGUGCUGCAUGGCUGUCGUCAGCUCGUGUUGUGAAAUGUUGGGUUAAGUCCCGCAACGAGCGCAACCCUUAUCCUUUGUUGCCAGCGGUUAGGCCGGGAACUCAAAGGAGACUGCCAGUGAUAAACUGGAGGAAGGUGGGGAUGACGUCAAGUCAUCAUGGCCCUUACGAGUAGGGCUACACACGUGCUACAAUGGCGCAUACAAAGAGAAGCGACCUCGCGAGAGCAAGCGGACCUCAUAAAGUGCGUCGUAGUCCGGAUUGGAGUCUGCAACUCGACUCCAUGAAGUCGGAAUCGCUAGUAAUCGUAGAUCAGAAUGCUACGGUGAAUACGUUCCCGGGCCUUGUACACACCGCCCGUCACACC